Molecule: ribosomal RNA, 495 nt
Filed under: uncultured bacterium
Lineage: Bacteria
Description: partial 16S ribosomal RNA
Rfam family: Bacterial small subunit ribosomal RNA
Source: RNAcentral
GAUGAACGCUGGCGGCGUGCCUAAUACAUGCAAGUAGAACGCUGAAGGAGGAGCUUGCUCUUCUGGAUGAGUUGCGAACGGGUGAGUAACGCGUAGGUAACCUGCCUGGUAGCGGGGGAUAACUAUUGGAAACGAUAGCUAAUACCGCAUGACAACAGUUAUUGCAUGAUAACUGUUUAAAAGGGGCAACUGCUCCACUACCAGAUGGACCUGCGUUGUAUUAGCUAGUUGGUGAGGUAACGGCUCACCAAGGCGACGAUACAUAGCCGACCUGAGAGGGUGAUCGGCCACACUGGGACUGAGACACGGCCCAGACUUCUACGGGAGGCAGCAGUAGGGAAUCUUCGGAAAUGGACGGAAGUCUGACCGAGCAACGCCGCGUGAGUGAAGAAGGUUUUCGGAUCGUAAAGCUCGGUUGUAAGAGAAGAACGAGUGUGAGAGUGGAAAGUUCACACUGUGACGGUAUCUUACCAGAAAGGGACGGCUAAAUACGUG